CCUGCUGAAAAAAACAAUAGAAACCAUUACAGAAUUUGUAAUGGUUUUAAUGGUUCUUAUUGGAAUUCUAAUGGUUUUAAUGGACACUGUAAUGGUCUCUGUGGGUCUCUAUUGGUAAUUUGCUUUCUUCUAUUGGUGGCGUGUAUUGUCUAUUGGAUACCAUUAAGGACCAAUAGAACACCUUUAGAAACUUCUAGUGGUAUCUACUGGACACCAGUAGAAACCAUUAUGACUCCAAUAAAUUUAGUGGUUUCUUUGGAAAACUGUAAUGGUCUUAGUGGGUAGGCUACUGCUGAAAAAAAAUGAACACACAAACAAUAGAAACUAUUACAAAAUUUGUAAUGGUUUUAAUGGUUAUAAUGGGAAUUAUGUUGGUUGUAAUGGUCACAGUAAUGGUCCCUGUGGGUCUCUAUUGGUAAAUUGCUUUCUUCUAUUGGUGGUAUGUAUUGUCUUGGAUUGCCACCAUACGUCAUUUGGAAAGGUUAUUUUUAAUUCAUUUAAUUUUUUUUUUUUUUUUUUUUUUUUUUUAAAUCAACUCGACUGGUCAUGGCCUUCAAAAUUGACUUGAAAAGUUGGUAUUUGUUUUGUCUGUCGGAUUUGGUCCAAAUUUAGCCCAAAAAUAGAUGUGAAAUAACAGUGAAAUUCUGCGUGACUUCCACGUGCUGUAAUGUGCGCGCGCGCAGAACUGGAGCGGAGGACGUCACCAUGGAAACGAGGCGGCAGCCCAACCGUCAAGCAGCUGAUCGCUGACACUCAAUGUGGUUUCACUUUUUUUUUUAGGUAAGUUUAGUCUAUUAAAUUACACAAAUAGUACAUUAAAGUGUUCCUGACACUUUAUUUCAUGUAAAUUAUACACUUUCGUUUAAUAUUUACUUCAUAGAAAUGGUUUAGCGUCGUCAGAAAAAGGCCGUUAGCAUCUCAAAGGUAAGGCUAACUACAAGAGGUAACGAUAGACAUGAGCUCUUAUUUAUUAAGUUUGGGCUUUUAAUGUCAUCUUGUGUGUAGAUGAGCUCUCUCUCUCUCUCUCUCUCCAUAUAGAUCAAUGGAUGAAUGGAAGUAACCAAAUUAAUUUAACCCUAAAAGUAUGCACUGUUUAAUCCUAAAAUGUGCACUAACGUAACCGGAUAACUUUACAUCACUUACAUAGAGCGUGAAAAUGGACUGAAACCUUCAGGUUUUGAUCUUUCAUGGUAAACACAUAAAUACAAACUUGUUCUGUGAUUUCAGAAGUGCCAGAAAAAAACCUCUAUGACGCAGGAGAAGUUCCUGAUUUUAACAUUUCUGAAGGGAGCUGCUGACAGAGAGGAUGAAAACAUACACAUUUUGAUGUCCACGCUUGCUUAUGUUCCUAGGUUCUUCCAUGCUGAUGGCUGUGCUCUAGUCAUAUCUCCUGUCGAAGAACAUUUUUAGACAUUAUGAACCAUGAAUAAGUUUAGCUCCAACCCCAGUUAAGCAGACCUGAGCAGCUGAUCAAGGAUCAGCAGAAACUCUGCAGAACGGUGGUCCUCCAGCCCAGGACUGGACACCAGUGUUAGUGUCUGUCUCAGAAGCUGAAGAAAAAAGGUCACACCUUAUAGGAAAUAAACGCCUCCUAAGUGUAUGGAAAUACCUGGCUGAGGAGAUCAGUGACAUAAACCAGAUAAAACUGUCAGUGGUCUGAGACAGCUACAAGCCACAAAAACAGUUCAUAGUUCCUGCAUUUCUAUAAUGCAUUAAUGAAUAACAAUAAUUAAAAUAAAAUGUAAUGUCAAGGUUUUGUGUUAAUUCCAGCUAUGUUGAGUAUUCUGUGAAUAAUUUUGAUUUUAGGUGCAUAUUCUUAAUUCUUUGCAAAACAACCUGAACUGUUUGCUAUUGAAAGGUUGGUAUGAAGUUUAAAUAAAUAAAAACAUUAUAUUCUUGACAAAA
Long non-coding RNA from Carassius gibelio (silver crucian carp), 1905 nucleotides. RefSeq lists it as uncharacterized. The record is from RefSeq and is a predicted model, not a curated record. The transcript is spliced from 5 exons. NCBI's taxonomy places the organism in Eukaryota, Metazoa, Chordata, Actinopteri, Cypriniformes, Cyprinidae.